RNAcentral lists this ribosomal RNA (384 nucleotides) under Sus scrofa cristatus. RNAcentral's name for it is "partial 12S ribosomal RNA". It matches the Rfam family "Bacterial small subunit ribosomal RNA", at positions 857 to 1403 of the family's 1533-position model. Lineage: Eukaryota; Metazoa; Chordata; Mammalia; Artiodactyla; Suidae. The record is from RNAcentral.
UAACAAAACUAUUCGCCAGAGUACUACUCGCAACUGCCUAAAACUCAAAGGACUUGGCGGUGCUUCACAUCCACCUAGAGGAGCCUGUUCUAUAAUCGAUAAACCCCGAUAGACCUUACCAACCCUUGCCAAUUCAGCCUAUAUACCGCCAUCUUCAGCAAACCCUAAAAAGGAACAAUAGUAAGCACAAUCAUAACACAUAAAAACGUUAGGUCAAGGUGUAGCUUAUGGGUUGGAAAGAAAUGGGCUACAUUUUCUACAUAAGAACACCCAAUACGAAAGUUUUUAUGAAACUAAAAACCAAAGGAGGAUUUAGCAGUAAAUCAAGAAUAGAGUGCUUGAUUGAAUAAGGCCAUGAAGCACGCACACACCGCCCGUCACCCU